RNAcentral lists this ribosomal RNA (254 nucleotides) under uncultured bacterium. RNAcentral's name for it is "partial 16S ribosomal RNA". It matches the Rfam family "Bacterial small subunit ribosomal RNA", at positions 524 to 776 of the family's 1533-position model. The record is from RNAcentral.
UACGAAGGGGGCUAGCGUUGUUCGGAAUCACUGGGCGUAAAGCGCACGUAGGCGGAUCUUUAAGUCAGGGGUGAAAUCCCGAGGCUCAACCUCGGAACUGCCUUUGAUACUGGGGGAUCUCGAGUCCGGGAGAGGUGAGUGGAACUGCGAGUGUAGAGGUGAAAUUCGUAGAUAUUCGCAAGAACACCAGUGGCGAAGGCGGCUCACUGGCCCGGAACUGACGCUGAGGAGCGAAAGCGUGGGGAGCGAACAGG